GCCCGGGUGGCGGAAUUGGCAGACGCGCUAGGUUCAGGUCCUAGUAUCCCUUAAAGAUGUGGAGGUUCGAGUCCUCUCUCGGGCACCA
RNAcentral lists this transfer RNA (88 nucleotides) under Planctomycetota bacterium. Its description in RNAcentral is "Planctomycetes bacterium (soil metagenome) tRNA-Leu". It matches the Rfam family "tRNA". From Rfam's summary of the family: Transfer RNA (tRNA) molecules are approximately 80 nucleotides in length. Their secondary structure includes four short double-helical elements and three loops (D, anti-codon, and T loops). The record is from RNAcentral. Lineage: Bacteria; Pseudomonadati; Planctomycetota.